UACAGAGGUGGCAAGCGUUGUUCGGAAUUACUGGGCGUAAAGGGCGCGUAGGCGGCCUUCUAAGUCAGACGUGAAAUCCCCCGGCUUAACCUGGGAACUGCGUCUGAUACUGGAAGGCUUGAGUGCGGGAGAGGGAUGUGGAAUUCCAGGUGUAGCGGUGAAAUGCGUAGAUAUCUGGAGGAACACCGGUGGCGAAGGCGGCAUCCUGGACCGACACUGACGCUGAGGCGCGAAGGCGUGGGGAGCGAACGGG
Molecule: ribosomal RNA, 253 nt
Filed under: uncultured bacterium
Lineage: Bacteria
Description: partial 16S ribosomal RNA
Rfam family: Bacterial small subunit ribosomal RNA
Source: RNAcentral